This 257-nucleotide unclassified non-coding RNA is filed under the name uncultured fungus. Its description in RNAcentral is "partial contains 18S rRNA, ITS1, 5.8S rRNA, ITS2 and 28S rRNA". The record is from RNAcentral. Lineage: Eukaryota; Fungi.
AAGGAUCAUUAUCGAAUAAAAUUGAACAGGUUGUUGCUGGCCUCUGGGCAUGUGCACGCUUGUCCAAUCUUUAUCAUUUCUCCAACCUGUGCACUUAUUUGUAGACCUUUAGAUUUUGGGACUGCUGUGCUUUUUAUCAGUCGGCUUUCCCUUUGUUUUUUUAAUGUCUAUAUGAUUUUUCACAAUCUCAUAAAUGUCGAAUGUAUGUUAAAUGAAACAAAUAUAUACAACUUUCAGCAACGGAUCUCUUGGCUCUC